UAGUAGUAGAAGUAAUAGUAGUCACUUUCAAAGCAAUGUCUACAAGUUUAAAUUCCUUAACCCUGUUCAAGGUGUAUACACACUCAAUAUUUAACUACAGUCCAGGUUUGCAAUUAACAAACUAUCUGAUAAACCUGUGUGUGAGUCAGAUAUGUCUGCUGCUAAUCUAUUGGUUAUAAAAUAUCACAGCCUUUUCUGAUUGGCUGAGUUCAAAUACAGAAAGUUUACCUGUUAGAUUGAAAUUCUGGAGCAGGCGUAUUGUAAAAUAUGCAGGUUAAACUUGUUGUUAAAAUGAAGUUAAUGUAAUGUUCACAAACAGUAGAGUUAAUGAGUUUUUCCAUUAACAAGAAUUUCUUAAAAUAAUAAUGUAUGGAUAUCAUUUGGAAAGUGACAUGAAAUGUUGUUAAAAAGUGAUGCAUACAAGUGUUUCAGAAGUCUGUCUAGGAAUAGAACAACAACUGAAGCUGACCAGUUGAUGAAAGAUACUGCAGAGUUUGGCAGGGAAAUAACCCAAGACAGCAAAGCGGCUCUUUUGGCGCAUUUACUAAGAGGACUAACAUGGCCACAAAUUCAUGACCAUGCAGGGGCCGUACAGUAUAACAGCAGUACAAGUUCUAUAAAAGAUCCACGACCUACUGAAGCCCAGCUAAUUAACAAAAAAGUUUUUAAAAACUGUAAUUUUAUCCCACCUGGGUACUUAUAAUUUACUAAGCUGCCUACACAAGUUUUAGACUUGCAAUUAUAUUUUAAACUGUCACUUGGAAAGUAAUACAUGUACAUGCAUUAUGUUCUGAAUUUCUUUGAACAAUAAAAUUAUAUAAAAGUAUUUUAAUGAAAUUGAGCACCUAAAUUGCAUUAAAGUGAAAGUAGCUGAGAAAAAUAGUAUCCUUGUGCUCAUGGGCAGCUACAUAUAUUGUAACUAACAUGAAUUAGCUAAAAUAACUUAAAUUUUUCAUUUUGUUUCUUGUAUAUCGUUUGUACAGGGUUCGUGAAUUGUUACUGUAUAUUACUUGACUUGCUUAAUUGUAUUUUGUUACUUUGAAUACAUGUUGUGAAGGUUGCAUUAUACUUUUUAAACUUUAAAGUAGCGCCUGUUCUGUUAUGUAAGGGCCUGAUUUAUGAUAAUGGACAUAGAGGCUUUGUAAGCAUGUAUUAAACAACACUUGUUUGAUCUGAAUAAUUUGUUAAAUAAAUGUAACACAAUUUGUAAUCUGAUGUUAUAUUUUGAUGAAUUGUGAACAAAAUAAUACAUCGAAGAAACUAAGGCAUUAUGUUGAUUUUUUGUUUUGUUUUAAUCUAACCUUAAAUUAUGAUUUAUUUAAGCUGUGAGUAUUGUAUUCAUUUAAUACAUGAAUAUUGUUUUUAGACCAGAAAUUUCUUUUUCUAUUCAGUGACCAUGGUAAACGCUGGACAAUUUUCCAUGUUAUACCAGGCAUCCAUGGAAUAUUAAACAAGGAAAAACCCUGGAACAUUUUCCAGGGUUUUCCAGCCAG
Long non-coding RNA from Dreissena polymorpha, 1493 nucleotides. RefSeq lists it as uncharacterized. The record is from RefSeq and is a predicted model, not a curated record. NCBI's taxonomy places the organism in Eukaryota, Metazoa, Mollusca, Bivalvia, Myida, Dreissenidae. The transcript has 3 exons.